UACGUAGGGUGCAAGCGUUGUCCGGAAUUAUUGGGCGUAAAGCGCACGUAGGCGGAUUUGUAAGUCAGGGGUGAAAUCCCGGGGCUCAACCUCGGAACUGCCUUUGAUACUGCAAAUCUCGAGUCCGGAAGAGGUGAGUGGAAUUCCUAGUGUAGAGGUGAAAUUCGUAGAUAUUAGGAAGAACACCAGUGGCGAAGGCGGCUCACUGGUCCGGUACUGACGCUGAGGUGCGAAAGCGUGGGGAGCAAACAGG
RNAcentral lists this ribosomal RNA (253 nucleotides) under uncultured bacterium. Its description in RNAcentral is "partial 16S ribosomal RNA". It matches the Rfam family "Bacterial small subunit ribosomal RNA", at positions 524 to 776 of the family's 1533-position model. The record is from RNAcentral.